RNAcentral lists this long non-coding RNA (363 nucleotides) under Homo sapiens (human). RNAcentral describes it as "non-protein coding lnc-ZMYND11-2:1". The record is from RNAcentral. Lineage: Eukaryota; Metazoa; Chordata; Mammalia; Primates; Hominidae.
UGUGUGUGUUGUGGAGGCCUAGGCUGAUGUGUGCAUGCGUGUGGUGGAGGCCUAGGCAGCUGUCUGUGUGUGCAAGUGUGUGUGGUGGAGGCCUAGGCCGGUGUGUGUGUGUUGUGGAGGCCUAGGCUGAUGUGUGUGUGUGUUCUGUGGAGGCCUAGGCAGCUGUGUGUGUGCACGUGUGUCGUGGAGGCCUACGCAGCUGUGUGUGUGUGUUGUGGAGGCCUAGGUUGAUGUGUGUGCACGUGUGUUGUAGAGGCCUAGGAAGCUGUGUGUGUGUGUUGUGGAGGCCUAGGCUGAUGUGUAUGUGUGUGCUGUGGAGGCCUAGACAGUCGUGUGUGUGUGUGCGUGUGUGUGUGUUGUAGA